RNAcentral lists this ribosomal RNA (472 nucleotides) under uncultured bacterium. RNAcentral describes it as "bacterial SSU rRNA". It matches the Rfam family "Bacterial small subunit ribosomal RNA", at positions 29 to 507 of the family's 1533-position model. The record is from RNAcentral.
AACGAACGCUGGUGGCGUGCCUCAUUACAUGCAAGUCGAGCGAGACUUCGAGUCGAGCGGCGUACGGGUGAGUAUCGCGUGAGUAACCUACCCUAUAGUUGGGAAUAACCCCCCCUAACGGGGGACUAAUACCGAAUAUUGAGUGGCACUGCAUAGUGCUUAGUCGAAAGGGCGCAAGCCCGCUAAAGGAUGGACUCGCGUCUGAUUAGCUAGGUUGGGGGGGUAACGGCCCACCAAGGCGAUGAUCAGUAGCCGACCUGAGAGGGUGACCGGCCACAAUGGGACUGAGACACGGCCCAUACUCCUACGGGAGGCAGCAGUAGGGAAUCUUGCGCAAUGGACGAAAGUCUGACGCAGCAACGCCACGUGUGGGACGACGCCUUUCGGGGUGUAAACCACUGUUAGCAGGGACUAGCCUACGGUGUAGACCGUACCGAAUGUACCUGCAGAGAAAGCACCGGCAAACUUCGUG